Dermochelys coriacea (leatherback sea turtle) is the source of this 131-nucleotide long non-coding RNA. RefSeq lists it as uncharacterized. NCBI's taxonomy places the organism in Eukaryota, Metazoa, Chordata, Testudines, Dermochelyidae. The transcript is spliced from 3 exons. The record is from RefSeq and is a predicted model, not a curated record.
UUAACUGUUAAAACAAAAAUUGUCAACAUCACAUGUCAAAAUAUACAAAACAAAUAUUCUUGAAUCAAAUUCUAAUACGUGCUCAAGAAGCAUUUUUCCUACUUUGCCUCAUCUGGAAAUUUGAUUCUUGA